CCUACGGGUGGCUGCAGUGGGGAAUAUUGGACAAUGGGGGGAACCCUGAUCCAGCCAUGCCGCGAGUGUGAAGAAGGCCCUCGGGUUGUAAAGCACUUUCAGUGAGGAAGAACGCCUGGUGGUUAAUACCCAUCAGGAAAGACAUCACUCACAGAAGAAGCACCGGCUAACUCCGUGCCAGCAGCCGCGGUAAUACGGAGGGUGCGAGCGUUAAUCGGAAUUACUGGGCGUAAAGCGCGCGUAGGUGGCUUGAUAAGCCGGUUGUGAAAGCCCCGGGCUCAACCUGGGAACGGCAUCCGGAACUGUCAAGCUAGAGUGCAGGAGAGGAAGGUAGAAUUCCCGGUGUAGCGGUGAAAUGCGUAGAGAUCGGGAGGAAUACCAGUGGCGAAGGCGGCCUUCUGGACUGUCACUGACACUGAGGUGCGAAAGCGUGGGUAGCAAACAGGAUUAGAUACCCGAGUAGUC
RNAcentral lists this ribosomal RNA (465 nucleotides) under Vreelandella stevensii. RNAcentral describes it as "partial 16S ribosomal RNA". It matches the Rfam family "Bacterial small subunit ribosomal RNA", at positions 338 to 795 of the family's 1533-position model. Lineage: Bacteria; Pseudomonadati; Pseudomonadota; Gammaproteobacteria; Oceanospirillales; Halomonadaceae. The record is from RNAcentral.